Molecule: long non-coding RNA, 175 nt
Filed under: Haliotis rubra (blacklip abalone)
Lineage: Eukaryota; Metazoa; Mollusca; Gastropoda; Lepetellida; Haliotidae
Description: uncharacterized LOC124268507, transcript variant X1
Source: RNAcentral
CCUCAAGGAAGCAAAUUUGGCAAAUGUGAUGAAAGAAUUACAAGAGAUAAAGACAUGAUGAUGUCAUCGCGGAGGCCUGGUGCUCCUCAACCCUCGGACAGCAGUGUAUUCUAUACAACAUCAGAGUUUCUGGAUACCGAAGCCACGAGCGGAGAGGGAGACACAGGAGAUGUCU